AUGGAGCCGAAUCUGGACAUGGCGGCCAUGAGAAAGAAGCUAGAGGAUGAGUUGCUCGGCACCUGGCUGUGGGACAGGGAGCUGUACUCCAUCCUGCAGGAACAGCAAGAGCUUGACGACGAAGGUGAUUACGAGUACUACGAACCAGACGAAUCAGACCAAGAAGAAGAGGAGCUCCACUAUGGUGGUUCUUGGGGAUACGCGUAUACGUUCUACUACGAGGACGUGAACCCUUAUUACGUCGCCGACAUGGAAGAGAGGUGGAAGAAUCAGAUCCAGUUUCCUUCGACAAUGUCCAGCGCCAAGAGAUCAAGGGGGGUCUGGGAGGGGUCUCUUCAGGUCAAUGGCCCGUGUCAGCUCGAUCCAAGCCUGUUAUCUGCGUAA
This 384-nucleotide ribosomal RNA is filed under the name Triticum aestivum (bread wheat). Its description in RNAcentral is "partial small subunit ribosomal RNA". The record is from RNAcentral. Lineage: Eukaryota; Viridiplantae; Streptophyta; Magnoliopsida; Poales; Poaceae.